UUGACCUCGAAUCAGGUAGGAAUACCCGCUGAACUUAAGCAUAUCAAUAAGCGGAGGAAAAGAAACCAACAGGGAUUGCCCCAGUAACGGCGAGUGAAGCGGCAACAGCUCAAAUUUGAAAUCUGGCUCUCGGGCCCGAGUUGUAAUUUGUAGAGGAUGCUUUUGGUGAGGUGCCUUCCGAGUUCCCUGGAACGGGACGCCAUAGAGGGUGAGAGCCCCGUCUGGUUGGACACCGAUCCUCUGUAAAGCUCCUUCGACGAGUCGAGUAGUUUGGGAAUGCUGCUCUAAAUGGGAGGUAUAUGUCUUCUAAAGCUAAAUACCGGCCAGAGACCGAUAGCGCACAAGUAGAGUGAUCGAAAGAUGAAAAGAACUUUGAAAAGAGAGUUAAAAAGUACGUGAAAUUGUUGAAAGGGAAGCGCUUGUGACCAGACUUGGGCUUGGUUGAUCAUCCGGGGUUCUCCCCGGUGCACUCUUCCGGCUCAGGCCAGCAUCAGUUCGCCCUGGGGGAUAAAGGCUUCGGGAAUGUGGCUCUCUCCGGGGAGUGUUAUAGCCCGCUGCGUAAUACCCUGUGGCGGACUGAGGUUCGCGCAU
Molecule: ribosomal RNA, 591 nt
Filed under: Fusarium solani
Lineage: Eukaryota; Fungi; Ascomycota; Sordariomycetes; Hypocreales; Nectriaceae
Also listed under: 7 other names
Description: eukaryotic LSU rRNA
Rfam family: Eukaryotic large subunit ribosomal RNA
Source: RNAcentral